RNAcentral lists this ribosomal RNA (270 nucleotides) under uncultured prokaryote. Its description in RNAcentral is "partial 16S ribosomal RNA". It matches the Rfam family "Archaeal small subunit ribosomal RNA", at positions 474 to 743 of the family's 1478-position model. The record is from RNAcentral.
CACCAGCGCCACGAGUGGUGACCACUAUUAUUGGGUUUAAAGAGUCCGUAGCUGACUUAAUAACUCUCUUGCGAAAUUGUUAAACUUAAUUUAGCAUCGUGCAAGGGAAACUAUUAGGAUUGGGACCGGGAAAAGAUAGGAGUAUUCCUUGGGGAGCGGUAAAAUGCUAUAAUCCUUGGAAGACUACCAAUGGCGAAGGCACCUAUCUUGAACGGGUCUGACAGUGAGGGACGAAAGCUAAGGUCGAGACUCGGAUUAGAUACCCCCGUA